RNAcentral lists this ribosomal RNA (514 nucleotides) under Parnara ganga. RNAcentral's name for it is "partial 16S ribosomal RNA". The stretch from base 387 to 514 matches the Rfam family "Bacterial large subunit ribosomal RNA", at positions 2473 to 2600 of the family's 2925-position model. Lineage: Eukaryota; Metazoa; Arthropoda; Insecta; Lepidoptera; Hesperiidae. The record is from RNAcentral.
GUCUUUUUGAUUUUAAUUUAAAGUCAAAUCUGCCCACUGAUUUAUAUUAAAGGGCUGCAGUAUAUUGACUGUACAAAGGUAGCAUAAUAAAUAGUCUUUUAAUUGAAGACUUGUAUGAAAGAUUUGAUGAGAUAUAAACUGUCUCUUUUUUAUAUUUAGAAUUUAAUUUUUUAGUAAAAAAGCUAAAAUUAAUUUAAAAGACGAGAAGACCCUAUAGAGUUUUAUAAUUAAUUUAUUUAUAUAUUUAUAUUUAUAAUUUAAAAUUUAAUUAAUUUAAUUAUUUUGUUGGGGUGAUAGAAAAAUAAAUAAAACUUUUUUUAAAAAAUUACAUUAAUUAAUGAAUAAAUGAUCCAUAAAUUAUGAUUAAAAGAAAAAAUUACCUUAGGGAUAACAGCGUAAUUUUUUUUUUUAGUUCUUAUAGGAAAAAGAGUUUGCGACCUCGAUGUUGGAUUAAGAUAAAAUUUAAAUGUAGAAGUUUAAAAUUUUUGAUCUGUUCGAUCAUUAAAAUCUUACA